UUGCCAGGGCUAGGGUUCUUCGAUGGGGCUCAAGCUGCGAGCAGUGCCGAUCACGGAGGAUAAUUUCCGGCCUUGGCCAGCUCCUGGGAAAGAUCGGCGACGGAUGCGAGUAUGGAUCGGGAGACGCGCAGCUCAAUCUCGCGAAUGGGAUUCCCAGAUUCUACCUCAUGGAGCUCAAGAAAACGGGGCUGCGAUUCAAAAGGAUAACGCAUCACGCCAGGGUGACGCAGUGUCAAGCUAAACGAAGGAACUUGGCACGCUGGUCCUCUCUUUGGUGAUCGAGAUUCGAUGGUCUUCUACAACUUGGAGCUCAGUGACACCAACGUUGUGGAUCACACUAACGACGUACUGAUCGAAGAUUGAGGUGAUGGCGAGCUUAAACACUUUUUUGCGUGUCUAGAAAAGCAAAUGGUGGAAAUGAAACAAGUUCUUUGCGAGCUAAGAAUUUCAUGUCCCUUGCCAUCAAGUUGUCGAGGAGCUCCUUUUGUGCCUCGGGACACUGACUAGUAGUUGAAGGAUGUACAAGAUGAGGCUGAUGAUCCUGGUCGGAAGAAAAUUUACGAACGGGAUGACUCCCACAGACCAUGGCGUCAACUCCCUGGGUGCUGAUUAUGGUCGAAAGCCUGCUUUCUGUCGAACACGAGCGAACGGAUGCUGAGAGUAUUCAUGUAAUUUGCCUCCUGCCAGUCCAGCUCGCUACUUCCGCCAAGAACUCGGGUUACCUCAGUCAACAGCAAGAUGGAAAUGUUCCAGAAGUCUUUCUUCUUCAUGUCGGUCACAAACUCGAGCGGUGGAUGAUAUCCUUUGAAAGCGGAAAAGUACGAACUCUAUGCUUGGAAAGUUUCAAAUCAGUGUGGAGUACAAUUUCAGAAAGGAGAUCUUCUAUGCAGUGAAGGAAGCUUUAUUUUUCAUGUUGAUUAAUGUUUUCUUUCCUAUUAGAGUUCUGUUAGUGAAUUACAAUUGCGUGAGCGAAGUUGCUGCGACUUCAGAUCUCCUUUGAAAGUUUACGUGAGCAAGUUGCUGAAACUGGGAUCGCACUCUUUCCCACCAAGAUCAUAGAUCCUCCUAAGUUUUGUCUUUCUAAAACAGAGUUGGUAAUUUUUAUUUUAUUCUUUACAGCAUGACACAUUCGAGGGCGCUGUUGACGAGCUCCUCGAGGCUGCUGGAAUGCUUGGGACGCCUCCAUUUCACCGUCUUCUCUAAAACGUCGCAAGAACCUGGCGUCCUUUGCCACCAAGCUGUUCAGAAGCUCUACGCUAUAUCGCCGGAUACGAUUCAAGCUCCUAGAAGGUGCUGUCUGGGAUAGAAGCUCUGUGAUUUUUUCGCAAAGCCGUGAUUGUUGCGAUAGCACGCCUUGUUCAAAGUUACGUGUGUCGAGCCAGGGGAUUAUGGCUGCUGCCAAACCGAUGGCUGCCUGCUGUUCCUUGUCCGUGGAUUCCAGCACCAUCUGGAUGAUGCGAGAUAUGGCUGCUCCAAGCUCCAACUUUUCUUCGUCGUUAAGGUCACCGCACAAGCUUCGCAAAAUUGUGGCUGCAUGGACUCCAACUGGCUUGCUUUUGUGCAUGAGGAGCCUCGAGCAAUUAUUGGGACACUGGAGAACGAGCACAACUAUGGCUUCCCCGGCUCCAAUGGCGAUGGUCAACUUGUUUGGUGCGGUUUCUCUCGCAAAUAUGGCCAUCAAGCUUUGGAUAACUCCUCCAGUCGCGCCAAUGCAAUCUCUAAGCUCGUCCUCGGUUGCUAGCAGCUUGAUCACGUCUACUGCCAGUGACCGUCCAGAAUCUCCUCCCACGCGAGCCAAUGUCCUCAAAAGCUCGAGUGAUCGACGGAAUACUUCUCUCGACGUUUGUGCUCUGGGGAAGUGCCAGUCUUCGUCUUGGAUAAAUUCAACCAGGAUGGAGAUAAGUCCGCUGGUGUUACCGAUUCGCACGCAUAUCCUGUGGUCCACGGCUAGCCCGUUGAGGAUAGUGAGUCUGUAGCUCUUUUCUUCUAGCACUUCCUCCUCUCUUGCGGCUAAAAGAGCAGUGAGGGCCUCCAGGGAUCCAGGGAUAGCGGAAAUCCUGAAGCAGUUACGGCGGUGACGAACCAGGUGAUCAUCUCUAAGAGUCUCUCCACAACUCCGGGCGUGGUACCAAUCCUCCGUCGCGUUUCUUUUAUUGAAUCUCCUUUUGAGACAAGAGCUGACAGUAUGUUGACGCUACCGAGCUGCUCUUCCCUUAUGCUUGACUGCAGCUUCUCGACGGUGAAAUCGAUAAGGUCCAUUCCCAGGCCAUCAAACACGCUUCCGUUCAGCGAUCGUGAGUACAAUGUGUACCAGUACUGCUUCAUGGUUUCAAUGUCGACUUGAUCAAGCUCACACGUUCGAGUGACUACUUCCAGCAACCUCUGGUAACGAAGCUUGAAUUCCCAAUAUGCUCUCUCCAGGAGGAAUAGCGACGUUUCUGCCAGCAUCAUCGCGUAAAACACCAAGCAAGCUGGAGCAAGUACAUGAAAAGGCUGAUGAUCCUGGUGGGGAGGAACUUUACAUACGGCAGGAGCGGGACGCUUCCCACGGACCAAGUUCUUCGGGCACCGAAUCCCUGGGUGGUCACGGUCGAAGGCUGCAGAGAACGUCUGCCUUAAUCUGGCGCUCUUGUCGAACACGAACGAUCUGAAGCCGAGAAUUCCCAAGCUGUAAUUUGCCUGCUGCCAUUCCAACUCGCUACUUCGACUGAAAACCCGCGUUCCUUCAGUCAGCAGCACGGCCGAUAUCGUCCAAAAGUCUUUGGCCUGAAUGUUGCUCACGAAUCCACCGAGGAGAACAACAGUUGCCCAGACGAAGGCCAGUUUCCCGAGGCCAGUGGCGAACUUUUCAAGAACUGCGAGCCUGAAAGCUAUCAGAUUGAGACGCUGCUCUGGUGAUUGGGAAUUAGCUGAAGGCUGGGCAGUGGAAGACUGCUGCCCUCGUCGUCUUAAUAACUGCAUUUCACUGGAGCUGAAGGCUUGGGAGUGGAAGACUGCUGCUCGACUUCCGGAUGUGGAGAAAAAACCGACCACAACUCACUGGUGUUGAGGGUUCUAGUGCCUGAAGGUGGAGAAGGUGGAGUAGCGAGAGCAGAGCCGGAAGAAGGAACUUGAAUGGUUAUCUCGUCCGCAAAGUGAACGGUACUCUUGGGGGCACCGGCAGACUGUCUGCUGUUCCUCGAAUCCAUGUUUAGUGUAUUGACGACUUCAAAGCCGCUUGAAUGUCUUUCUCAUGUUGCUGGCA
Molecule: RNA transcript, 3244 nt
Organism: Selaginella moellendorffii
Lineage: Eukaryota; Viridiplantae; Streptophyta; Lycopodiopsida; Selaginellales; Selaginellaceae
Exons: 14
Source: RefSeq, a predicted model, not a curated record